RNAcentral lists this ribosomal RNA (470 nucleotides) under uncultured bacterium. RNAcentral describes it as "bacterial SSU rRNA". It matches the Rfam family "Bacterial small subunit ribosomal RNA", at positions 328 to 797 of the family's 1533-position model. The record is from RNAcentral.
UUUCCAGACUCCUACGGGAGGCAGCAGUGAGGAAUAUUGGUCAAUGGCCGAGAGGCUGAACCAGCCAAGUCGCGUGAGGGAUGACGGCCCUACGGGUUGUAAACCUCUUUUGCCGGGGAGCAAAAAGCGGUACGCGUACCGCAUCGAGAGUACCCGGAGAAAAAGCAUCGGCUAACUCCGUGCCAGCAGCCGCGGUAAUACGGAGGAUGCGAGCGUUAUCCGGAUUUAUUGGGUUUAAAGGGAGCGUAGAUGGGUUGUUAAGUCAGUUGUGAAAGUUUGCGGCUCAACCGUAAAAUUGCAAUUGAUACUGGCAGCCUUGAGUACAGUUGAGGUAGGCGGAAUUCGUGGUGUAGCGGUGAAAUGCUUAGAUAUCACGAAGAACUCCGAUUGCGAAGGCAGCUUACUAAACUGCCACUGACAUUGAUGCUCGAAAGUGUGGGUAUCAAACAGGAUUAGAUACCCUAGUACUA